CGGCACUCUUGAGCGCAGUUUCGAAAGCAAAGCAGCUCUGUCCAGUUCAAAACAAACCCCAAAGUCAGGCGAAUCUCACCCAGAAGUAACUACGGCAACAUUUUUAACUGGCACAUGUCUAUGGCAGCCUUGUUUCCCUGACAUGUUUACAUUCAGCACUGCUAAAUGUAUUCUCCUGCUGUUUUAAGAGACCACAUGAUUUGGGCAAACGGUUUCCCCCUGAAAAGAAGG
Penaeus monodon (black tiger shrimp) is the source of this 231-nucleotide long non-coding RNA. RefSeq lists it as uncharacterized. The record is from RefSeq and is a predicted model, not a curated record. NCBI's taxonomy places the organism in Eukaryota, Metazoa, Arthropoda, Malacostraca, Decapoda, Penaeidae. The transcript has 3 exons.